CUGAAGCAUGCGGUCUCUCCCUGAAGUGCCUCCUCUAACACAGAUCAGGCAGCUCCGCACGGCUGAACUUUGACUGAUGUCACUUCCUAUUUAAGGAGCAGCUCGGAGCUGCCUGAUCAGGCUUACAGACAGCUCUCCUAGUGUGUUUAUCUUUCAGGCACACUGAGAGGCAUUCUUGUGGGUCUUUGGGUAGGCCCCAUUAGCUGUCUCUCAGUGUACCCUGCUGGGGCUGUGUGGCAGAACAAGGGGAGAGGGGCCGAAAAAGAAGAGAAGUAUUUUGUAGCAGGAGCCCGCGGAGUGCCGUGCGAGCCCCUCACUGACUGCAGGCUGGCUGGGGAGAUUGUUUAACUCCCCAGCCAGCUGUUCCUUUCCUGCA
Pelobates cultripes (western spadefoot toad) is the source of this 376-nucleotide non-coding RNA. NCBI's taxonomy places the organism in Eukaryota, Metazoa, Chordata, Amphibia, Anura, Pelobatidae. The record is from the annotation of a GenBank genome assembly.